UAUUGGUCAGUGGGCGGGAGCCUGAACCAGCCAAGUCGCGUGAGGGAGUAAGGCCCUACGGGUCGUAAACCUCUUUUGCCGGGGAGCAGGGCGGCGGACGUGUCCGCCGUUUGAGAGCACCCGGAGAAAAAGCAUCGGCUAACUCCGUGCCAGCAGCCGCGGUAAUACGGAGGAUGCGAGCGUUAUCCGGAUUUCUUGGGUUUAAAGGGUGCGCAGGCGGAGGCACAAGUCAGCGGUAAAAUCGCGGGGCUCAACCCCGCUCCGCCGUUGAAACUGUGUCCCUUGAGUGCGCGAAGGGUAGGCGGAAUGCGUGGUGUAGCGGUGAAAUGCAUAGAUAUCACGCAGAACUCCGAUCGCGAAGGCAGCCUACCGGCGCGCAACUGACGCUCAUGCACGAAAGCGUGGGUAUCG
This 411-nucleotide ribosomal RNA is filed under the name uncultured bacterium. RNAcentral's name for it is "bacterial SSU rRNA". It matches the Rfam family "Bacterial small subunit ribosomal RNA", at positions 362 to 770 of the family's 1533-position model. The record is from RNAcentral.